GGCGGAUAAAAAGUGGGUGAUCCUAUGCUGCCAAGAAAAGCAUCGACGCGAGGUUCAAGCCGCCCGUACCCCAAACCGACUCAGGUGGUCAGGUAGAGAAUACUAAGGAGAUCGAGAGAAUCGUGGUUAAGGAACUCGGCAAAAUGCCCCCGUAACUUCGGGAGAAGGGGGGCCACCCGCUUAUACGGACUUGCUCCGGAAAGGGUGUGGUGGCCGCAGAGACUAGUGGGUAGCGACUGUUUACUAAAAACACAGGUCCGUGCCAAGUCGCAAGACGAUGUAUACGGACUGACGCCUGCCCGGUGCUGGAAGGUUAAGAGGACCGGUUAGCCGCAAGGCGAAGCUGAGAAUUUAAGCCCCAGUAAACGGCGGUGGUAACUAUAACCAUCCUAAGGUAGCGAAAUUCCUUGUCGGGUAAGUUCCGACCUGCACGAAUGGCGUAACGACUUCCCAACUGUCUCAACCGCGAACUCGGCGAAAUUGCAUUACGAGUAAAGAUGCUCGUUACGCGCAGCAGGACGGAAAGACCCCGUGACCUUUACUAUAGCUUUGUAUUGGUGUUCGGUGUGGCUUGUGUAGGAUAGGUGGGAGACUUUGAAGCGUGGACGCCAGUUCAUGUGGAGUCAUUGUUGAAAUACCACUCUGGUCACUCUGGAUAUCUAACUUCGAACCGUGAUCCGGUUCAGGGACAGUGCUUGGUGGGUAGUUUAACUGGGGCGGUUGCCUCCCAAAAAGUAACGGAGGCGCCCAAAGGUUCCCUCAACCUGGUUGGCAAUCAGGUGUCGAGUGUAAGUGCACAAGGGAGCUUGACUGUGAGACUGACAGGUCGAGCAGGGACGAAAGUCGGGACUAGUGAUCCGGCAGUGGCUUGUGGAAGCGCUGUCGCUCAACGGAUAAAAGGUACCUCGGGGAUAACAGGCUGAUCUUGCCCAAGAGUCCAUAUCGACGGCAUGGUUUGGCACCUCGAUGUCGGCUCGUCGCAUCCUGGGGCUGGAGUAGGUCCAAGGGUUGGGCUGUUCGCCCAUUAAAGCGGUACGCGAGCUGGGUUUAGAACGUCGUGAGACAGUUCGGUCCCUAUCCGCUGCGCGCGUAGGAAGUUUGAGAGGAUCUGACCCUAGUACGAGAGGACCGGGUUGGACGAACCUCUGGUGUGCCAGUUGUUCCGCCAGGAGCACCGCUGGUUAGCUACGUUCGGGAUGGAUAACCGCUGAAAGCAUCUAAGCGGGAAGCCGGCCUCAAGAUGAGACUUCCAUACCUUCGGGUGAGAGGCUCCCAGCCAGACUACUGGGUUGAUAGGCCAGAUGUGUAAGCACGGCAACGUGUGCAGCUGACUGGUACUAAUAAGCCGAUGACUUGCU
This 1358-nucleotide ribosomal RNA is filed under the name metagenome. RNAcentral's name for it is "bacterial LSU rRNA". It matches the Rfam family "Bacterial large subunit ribosomal RNA", at positions 1578 to 2925 of the family's 2925-position model. The record is from RNAcentral.